CGGGUGAGUAACACGUGGAUAACCUACCUAUAAGACUGGGAUAACUUCGGGAAACCGGAGCUAAUACCGGAUAAUAUAUUGAACCGCAUGGUUCAAUAGUGAAAGACGGUUUUGCUGUCACUUAUAGAUGGAUCCGCGCCGCAUUAGCUAGUUGGUAAGGUAACGGCUCACCAAGGCAACGAUGCGUAGCCGACCUGAGAGGGUGAUUGGCCACACUGGAACUGAGACACGGUCCAGACUCCUACGGGAGGCAGCAGCA
This 259-nucleotide ribosomal RNA is filed under the name uncultured Staphylococcus sp. RNAcentral's name for it is "partial 16S ribosomal RNA". It matches the Rfam family "Bacterial small subunit ribosomal RNA", at positions 103 to 355 of the family's 1533-position model. The record is from RNAcentral. Lineage: Bacteria; Bacillati; Bacillota; Bacilli; Caryophanales; Staphylococcaceae.